RNAcentral lists this ribosomal RNA (497 nucleotides) under uncultured bacterium. RNAcentral describes it as "partial 16S ribosomal RNA". It matches the Rfam family "Bacterial small subunit ribosomal RNA", at positions 28 to 507 of the family's 1533-position model. The record is from RNAcentral.
GACGAACGCUGGCGGCGUGCCUAAUACAUGCAAGUAGAACGCUGAAGAGAGGAGCUUGCUCUUCUUGGAUGAGUUGCGAACGGGUGAGUAACGCGUAGGUAACCUGCCUUGUAGCGGGGGAUAACUAUUGGAAACGAUAGCUAAUACCGCAUAACAAUGGAUGACACAUGUCAUUUAUUUGAAAGGGGCAAUUGCUCCACUACAAGAUGGACCUGCGUUGUAUUAGCUAGUAGGUGAGGUAAUGGCUCACCUAGGCGACGAUACAUAGCCGACCCGAGAGGGUGAUCGGCCACACUGGGACUGAGACACGGCCCAGACUCCUACGGGAGGCAGCAGUAGGGAAUCUUCGGCAAUGGGGGCAACCCUGACCGAGCAACGCCGCGUGAGUGAAGAAGGUUUUCGGAUCGUAAAGCUCUGUUGUAAGUCAAGAACGGGUGUGAGAGUGGAAAGUUCACACUGUGACGGUAGCUUACCAGAAAGGGACGGCUAACUACGUG